CGCCGGCUCCACCCGGGAGCACACGUCCCGCGGGAUGACUGAGCAUCCCCCAGUCAGAGUGGCCCUGCAGCGCGUGGCAGCCACCAUCAGCCAAGGAUGCGGAAGGGAAGCGCGGAAAGCGGAGCGGAGAGGCGGCGGCGCCCGAGGCUGCAGCGACCACCCCCACGCCGCCCGCCCGCGAACUCGCCGCGGGUGCUGGGCCGCGCUGGCCGCGUUUGAAGUCUCCGGCGCCGCUGCUGGUUGGCCGGCUCGGGUCACGUGCACCCAGGCAGGAGUUUCCCCGACAGCUGGAGGCUGCGUGGGAUCCGGCGGCGGCUCCGGAGCUCGGCGGUGCGGCCUUCCCCGCCCCCUCUUCCCUCCUCCCCCGCCCGCUUCCGCCCGGCUUAUUAUCCUCCUUAUUGACAAACAGAGCGGCCGCGGCGGCGACUCUCCGCGUGCAUCUGUAGCCAAGCCAUGGGAGACAAGAAGAGCCCCACCAGGCCGAAGCGGCAGCCGAAGCCGUCCUCGGAUGAGGGUUACUGGGACUGUAGCGUCUGCACCUUCCGGAACAGCGCCGAGGCCUUCAAGUGCAUGAUGUGCGAUGUGCGGAAGGGCACCUCCACCCGAGAUAACGUGAAGAGCCUGGUUACCAUUUGGUGGAACAAUCCUGCUGGCUCAAGCCUCUGCCCAGAAAUUUGAUUCAGUCUCUUUUCUGGACAGUCUGGCACAGGGCAAACAGCAGUGAACCAGAUGAAACAGGAAAAUGUCCCCGUUUAUAAUUAUGGGGGUGAUAGCGAGCUUAUAUUCCUUUCUGGUAGAGGAAGACAGGCAAUAAGCUAAUAAUAUAUAACAUGGUAAGUAGAAACAAGUGCUUUGAAGAAAAGAAAGCAUACAGAGAGAGACAGAGUAAUGGGCAGAGUGGGGAGCAGAGUUGGAGGGGAGAGUGUUAUUUUAUUUCAGGUUAGGAAAGACUUAACUGCCAGCUGGCAUUUGAGCAGAGACCUGGAAGAAGUGAGGGAGUGGAUAGGCAGAGGGGAAUAAUAAGUAGGGGAAAUCCUCAGGCAGGAGUAGAAGGCUAUUGAGGUUGGAUAUUAUGGACUAAAUUGUGUCCCCUCCCCCUAAAUUUAUAUGUUGAAGUCUUAAUCCCCAGUAUGCUAUAUUUGGAGAUAGGGCUUUUAGGAGGUAAAUCAGGUUAAAUGAGUUCAUAAAGAUUGGUGAAAGGUGUGAUAGAAUUAGUGACUUUAUAAGAAGAGGAAAAGGGUGAUCUCUGUCUUUCUCUACUAUGUGAGGAUACAGUGAGAAAGAGGCUCUCUGCGAACCAGAAGGAAAGCACUCACCAGAAGCCAUACCCUGCUGGACCUUGAUUUUGGACUUUGUAGCCUCCAGAACUGUGAGAAAAUAAAUUUCUGUUGUUUAACCCACACAGUCUACAGUAUUUGUUGUGGCACCCCAAGCCAACUGAGACACAGGAAUAGAGGUUUCCGGAGGGGAGAUUAAAGAAGAUGAGGUGGAGGGAGAGACUGAAUCAUGUAGGGUUUCAGACUAGAGCAAGAAUUUUGGAUUUUAUUUUCAAUUGCCAUAUACUCUGGUUGCCAGAGUGUAACAAGGGGGGAAGGGGUUUAGAUGGGGAAGAGGAACCCAAUGAAUGGUUUUAAGCAGAGGAGUGAUAUAAUUUGAGUGAUAUAAUUUGAUUUAUAUCUGGAAUGAUCACCUGGCUGCUUUGUGAGAGAAUAGUCUAUAGCAAAGCAGUUGAAGAAUCAGGGGCAAGUGGCAAUAGGAGGGUGGCAUCAGUGGGGUUGGUGAGAAAUCCAAUUCUCUAUCUAUUUUGAAGGUAGAGUAGAAAGCAUUUGCUGGUAAAUUAGAUGUGAGUGUGAGAGAAAGUGGAGAAUGAAGACUGCUACCAUGUGUUUGGUCUGAGCAACUGGAAAAAUGGAGUUUAUUUACCAAGAUAGGAAGACUGUGAGAGACUGGAAGAGUGGAAGAAGGAACGAAUUAGAAGUAGUUUUGAAUAAGCUAAGUUAUUUUGAGUUGCUACUAGACAUUGAAGUGAAGAUGUUAAAUAGGCAGUUGGUUAUGUAAGUCUAGGGUUUAGGGGAGACAUUGGGGUUGGUGAUACAAAUUUUGGAGUUGUAUAGAUCAGUUCUCAACCUUGGAUGCAUUGAUUUAUCUCAGGAUUGGGGCAUUUUUUAAUUUGAUUACCAGUUAGGUUAAACAUUUUUAAAAACCGCUUUUAUUGAGGUAUAACUGACAUACAGUAUACUGCACACAAUUAAAGUGUACGAUUUGAUAAGUUUU
Molecule: RNA transcript, 2274 nt
Organism: Panthera uncia (snow leopard)
Lineage: Eukaryota; Metazoa; Chordata; Mammalia; Carnivora; Felidae
Gene: YAF2
Gene name: YY1 associated factor 2
Exons: 4
Source: RefSeq, a predicted model, not a curated record